AUACGGAGGGGGCAAGCGUUGUUCGGAAUUACUGGGCGUAAAGCGCGCGUAGGCGGGCUGGUUAGUUGGGGGUGAAAUCCCAGGGCUUAACCCUGGAACUGCCUCCAAUACUGCCAGUCUAGAGUUCGGGAGAGGUGAGUGGAAUUCCUAGUGUAGAGGUGAAAUUCGUAGAUAUUAGGAAGAACACCAGUGGCGAAGGCGGCUCACUGGCUCGAUACUGACGCUGAGGUGCGAAAGCGUGGGGAGCAAACAGGAUUAGAAACCCCGGUAGUCC
RNAcentral lists this ribosomal RNA (274 nucleotides) under uncultured bacterium. Its description in RNAcentral is "partial 16S ribosomal RNA". It matches the Rfam family "Bacterial small subunit ribosomal RNA", at positions 523 to 796 of the family's 1533-position model. The record is from RNAcentral.